GGGGCAUUAGCUCAGCUGGGAGAGCGCGACGCUGGCAGCGUCGAGGUCAGCGGUUCGAUCCCGCUAUGCUCCACCA
Molecule: transfer RNA, 76 nt
Filed under: Sulfurospirillum multivorans DSM 12446
Lineage: Bacteria; Pseudomonadati; Campylobacterota; Epsilonproteobacteria; Campylobacterales; Sulfurospirillaceae
Also listed under: 7 other names
Description: tRNA-Ala (GGC) (tRNA-Ala-GGC-1-1)
Rfam family: tRNA
About the family: Transfer RNA (tRNA) molecules are approximately 80 nucleotides in length.
Source: RNAcentral